UACAGAGGGUGCAAGCGUUGUUCGGAAUUAUUGGGCGUAAAGCGCGUGUAGGCGGUAGUCCAUGUCGGGUGUGAAAGCCCUCAGCUUAACUGGGGAAGUGCGCCCGAAACUGGACUGCUAGAGUGUCGGAGGGGAAGGCGGAAUUCCCGGUGUAGAGGUGAAAUUCGUAGAUAUCGGGAGGAACACCAGUGGCGAAGGCGGCCUUCUGGACGAACACUGACGCUGAGACGCGAAAGCGUGGGUAGCAAACAGG
This 253-nucleotide ribosomal RNA is filed under the name uncultured bacterium. RNAcentral's name for it is "partial 16S ribosomal RNA". It matches the Rfam family "Bacterial small subunit ribosomal RNA", at positions 524 to 776 of the family's 1533-position model. The record is from RNAcentral.